This 1655-nucleotide long non-coding RNA is filed under the name Aedes aegypti (yellow fever mosquito). Its description in RNAcentral is "lncRNA AAEL021813". The record is from RNAcentral. Lineage: Eukaryota; Metazoa; Arthropoda; Insecta; Diptera; Culicidae.
AAUCCAGAUUCAAUAGUCAGUAUAAUUCUGUCAUUGAUAGUAGUCAUCAGGUCAAACUGAAGAAUGAAUGGCUUUCUUUCAUUCAUCAUACUUUUGACUGCAUUCAGUAGAGCAAUUGAGGCAUCAUUCCUUGCCAUAGGUACACGAUUACCAGGCGAUAAGCUUCUUUACUCGUUCCGGCUACAAAGUGGACCGUAUGCGGAAGCCACAGAUAUCAGGCUAACCUUCGAUUAUCGAGUCGAAGAUUUAAUUCUGGGUCGUGAGUUUUUAACCAUGAUUAACUUUACUCGACCAGAUGAUGAUCUGUUGCCGAACUACUUCGAACGUGCUGAGCUAAACUCUACACACUUGUUCAUGACGCCUGUCCGAAGGAGUGUUACCAGCUGGUGGCUGCAGGGCGAUUUAUAUGGAUUCAAUGAGGAGCUAUUUCCAUCGAACUGAGCUGCAAUAAACAGGGACCACAUGUGAUGACAUAUGACGUGAAUUAAAACUCAUUCAACCGAAUUUGUCUACCGGGAGCAACAAAGUUUGGCUACGCGCCAGACUAUGUUUUCCGAUAUAACGUGGGCAGACGUUGUUGUCACCAUCAUCAUCCGCAGAUGUAGUGUAAACUAUAGUACCUGGACAAAUGAAAGUUUGAAGACACACUGAAGUUACACUGCGGAACACGUUUUUCUCUCAAGCACCAGAAUACCGCUUUUUACUUAACUAAGCUGUGGAUUAGAGUUAUGCUGAUACUUCUAGAUACAUUCGUCAGCUACAACUUUUCCGAAGACCGUAAUCAAAUCGAUAAGAUAAAAAAGUGAGUACUUGAACAUGAAAACAUGUGCCUUCGAUAAACAUGCGAUAAUCUUGUUUCAUUCUUGAUAAUUGUUGCCAUAAUAUUUCAACUGUUUUUGCUCAAUUGUAAUAUAAAAUAUUUGUGGCACUGUACGGAUAUUGAGCUUCAUUAGUUGGUAAUAUCGUUUAUCAUUGAUCCAGUUUUAUCUCAUGAAACAAUGUAAGGUAAAUGUAGAUGUAUAUUAUAUAUCAGCAGUUUUCCCAUGAAAAAUGAAUCAACCGCCUGCGAGCGUCGCGAUAACACCAAAAUGUGCCUUUCAAUUGGGGAGGGAACACCCGUGACCAUAUUUUCUUUUAUCUUCAUUUUUUACAAUGGGCUUGCAUUCCACAUGAUCGGUUUUAAUUUUUUUAUAAAGGCUCAUCUUGAACCACAUCAGAGAAGCACAUGCUAUUUCCAUCGCCCGAAAUCAAGUGUAUUGAUCGAUGGAAAUUUUUAGUCGGGUUUAAAUAGCAUAUACGCAUUUAAAAGAAAGUAAAAUACAUUCCAUAUGGUUGUGUCUGAAAAUAGAAAUAAUAUGAUAUUGAACAUAACGUCAACGUGGUGAUUUAUCCUUUAAAAAUAUCUUCUGUGACAUUCAAUUACAAAAUCAAUGAAAAAGAAUACGGUAUGUAUGAUUCAAAAAUAGGGUGCGUACUAGCACAUAGAAAUGCUUGAUUAAUGAAGCAAAUACUAGAUUGGCAAGCUCUAUCAAAUUGAACAAUCACAACAAACGCAAUAUAUACUUAGUAUUACUAUAUAAUUAUAUUCGAUUAGAAAAUGGUCAGCCCUUUGUUGAAAUAAAAUACACACUGAAGCUUCAUUUUGUGUCACAUUA